AAGUCUUCCCCAUCAUCAUCCGUGUCGUCUUCCGAGACACGCGACUCCCCCAGGCCAUUGGGCAGCUCGGCCAGGUCACCUCGACUCCCACUGCAGGACUCCCCCUUGUCCAGGGGAGCAUCUCCAACCAUCAGCCCUUCCCUAGUAAAUGAAGGACAAUUCCUACACGGAGACAUGGCACUUCUCCCAUGCAUCCGGCUAAUUAUGGUCCCCACCUUUUGGCUAAGGUAAGCAAUGCGGCUCACAGUAUCCACAUUAAAGUUUUAUGUGAA
Mesocricetus auratus (golden hamster) is the source of this 272-nucleotide long non-coding RNA. RefSeq lists it as uncharacterized. The transcript is spliced from 2 exons. The record is from RefSeq and is a predicted model, not a curated record. NCBI's taxonomy places the organism in Eukaryota, Metazoa, Chordata, Mammalia, Rodentia, Cricetidae.